Molecule: non-coding RNA, 135 nt
Organism: Triticum urartu
Lineage: Eukaryota; Viridiplantae; Streptophyta; Magnoliopsida; Poales; Poaceae
Source: Rfam
ACUGUACUCCCUCCGUUCCAAAUUACUUGUCUUAGAUUUGUCUAGAUACGGAGGUAUCUAGCAAUAAAAUGAGUCUAGAUACAUCCGUAUCUAGACAAAUCCAAGACAAGUAAUUCGGAACGGAGGGAGUACAUG